RNAcentral lists this ribosomal RNA (492 nucleotides) under uncultured bacterium. Its description in RNAcentral is "partial 16S ribosomal RNA". It matches the Rfam family "Bacterial small subunit ribosomal RNA", at positions 29 to 507 of the family's 1533-position model. The record is from RNAcentral.
AGUGAACGCUGGCGGUAGGCCUAACACAUGCAAGUCGAACGGCAGCACAGUAAGAGCUUGCUCCUACGGGUGGCGAGUGGCGGACGGGUGAGGAAUACAUCGGAAUCUACUUUUUCGUGGGGGAUAACGUAGGGAAACUUACGCUAAUACCGCAUACGACCUACGGGUGAAAGCAGGGGAUCUUCGGACCUUGCGCGAUUGAAUGAGCCGAUGUCGGAUUAGCUAGUUGGCGGGGUAAAGGCCCACCAAGGCGACGAUCCGUAGCUGGUCUGAGAGGAUGAUCAGCCACACUGGAACUGAGACACGGUCCAGACUCCUACGGGAGGCAGCAGUGGGGAAUAUUGGACAAAGGGCGCAAGCCUGAUCCAGCCAUACCGCGUGGGUGAAGAAGGCCUUCGGGUUGUAAAGCCCUUUUGUCGGGAAAGAAAAGCAGCAGGUUAAUACCCCGCUGUUCUGACGGUACCCAAAGAAUAAGCACCGGCUAACUUCGUG